RNAcentral lists this long non-coding RNA (4552 nucleotides) under Podarcis lilfordi (Lilford's wall lizard). Lineage: Eukaryota; Metazoa; Chordata; Lepidosauria; Squamata; Lacertidae. The record is from RNAcentral.
AUUGUACUUCCAGGCUGUUGUAAAAGACUCAGGGUUGGUGUAGUGAAUGACGUAAAUAUAAACCGGGUUGGUGUAGUGAAUGACCAUCACAGCUCAUAAGAGGUUGGUUCCUGAAAAAGUACAGUAGAUAAUACACAAUACAAAGACAAGGUUUCACUGCUAGUAUAGAAUAAUAAAAGUAAUACAAUUCAUCACCACAUACACACAUAUAUAUAUAUAUAAUAUUUGAAUUGGACAUAGCCCUGUGGAGCAUUUUAUAUUUCUCAAAUGUUCUUUCCUGAUAAAGGUAUCCUGUCUCGUUCUUCCAAUUCUUCACAAUUUAUAUUUUUUCCUUUUUAAUAGUUUCCUACUUUAAGAAGAAAUUGGUUGAAAUUCAGUGACCAGCAGGUUCUGAUCCAGUUUCUUUGCUGUAGAAUAUACACCAAAUUUUGUAUUUGUAUGAGGUAACAAAACCAACCAGGUCAGGAUUUAAAGAGAUAUUUAUGGCAUGACUAAAUUAGGAUUAUUAUUUUUCCCCCAGUGGGAUGUUUCACCUUUUUUCCUUUGAAAAAAUAGUUAGAAGGAACUAUUUUUCAUUAUGGCAUGGCAGGAAGGGAUGCUGUUAUUGAUGGUGUUAUUUGAGGAAUGCCCAAGGUUUCCUUGGACAUAGGAACCUAGUUAUGUUAAGAGGUUUAGAUUGGAGUAAAUACCUGUUAACAAAUAUAAGCAGUUUUAUACCUAUGUAACUACGAAAAGGGAGCUCACUUCUUAAAACGUUCACUUACUCGCUUUCUUCCUUUUUGGAUUAUGUUCCUCCCCAAGUGCUAAUUAAUACAUACUAAGAUGUGAAAUCAUUAUUACCAGUGUACAUUACCUUGUCCUUUUUUGACAUUGUUGUGCUGAUUCCCUAUUUGUAUUUGUCCUUUAGAAUUUCCCAGUCUGUUUUAGCCUUCAGAGCUAUAAACAAGCUUUGUGUUAUUUCUCAAUUUCCCUUUCUCUCAGCUGAUUUGCUCACUGAAACCAUUAUUAAGUAUAUUGAACACUUAUCCCAAUACUGAUCCCUGGAGUGCUUCACUCAACUUCUUUCCACUCUGAGAAGCAGCCAUUAAUUACAAGUCUUUGUUUCCUAUCACUUAGCUAAUUUUUAAUCCACAACAGGAUUUUACCUCCCUACCCUGUGGUUAUUUUCCUUAAUAGUCUCAUCAGCGGCUUUUGACAAUCCAAGUAAAUUACUUGAAAAAGACCUUCUUUUAUCCUGUUUGAUUAACUCUUUCCAAGACCUGUGAUGUCUCAAAGAGGCAAGAUUUUCUUUUCACAGAGGUUUGACCUUAUCAAUUUAUGCUUAUCCAAGUAGGGCAUUAUUUUCUCCUUAAUUAUAUUCUUUCUCAACCUCUCCUGAAUUAGGACCGAGAAGCUCAUCAGUCUCUAAUUUCAGUUUUCAUUGUAAUAUUGGCAACUAUAUACAUCUUUAAAUAUUGCUUGUGCUAUAUUUGCAUUAAGGGCCUAUUUAAAUUCCUCAGGCAUGGUGAUUUACUUGGCUUGGAAUUCCCACAAUGUUCCCUAAUCUUUCCUUUAGAGAUUUGCUGUAAUGCUACGGCACACUUGUAUCAUACUGUGUAACAGUGGUAUCUGCUCCAUCUUUAAUCAUAAAGAUUAAUGCAAAUAAGCCAAUUCUUUUCCCAGCAGUCCAUUAAUCCUCCCUAAUAGCACCCUUCACCUUUUGUUGGCCAGAAGAUUCAGGGACUUACACUGAAACCUCACUACUGGAUGUUUUGCAUUCCCCUAUUGGUCAUUUCAGUGUCCUUGUAAAGUUGGAAACUUGUGAAUGGCAAAGUCCCUGGGGGAGGAAAUGAGGGCUAGCAAAGCAGGUAGUUCAAAGUAUUACUAGCAAAAGCAAGGACAUUCAAUAGAUAGCACUACCAGAUAAAAUAUGAAAGAAAGUUUUUGUAGCACUAGCUAAAUUCUGGGAUGCUCGUUAAUAAAAGCAGUAUUGGUGUAAUAUAUUAUUUGUAUGUGCAAUUACACUUUUGCCCAAAAUAGCAGAAGCUUUCAGCUUUCUCUACAAGCAAUUAAGAGGCAAAUCUAACUUCGUAUUAUUAGUGUGGCGAGGCCUGUGACCACCCUGUUCCCUAGACAACACACAGCAUAUUGGUUUGGUAUUAAAUAAGGCCACAACUUUAUUGGUUACAGAUGUAAAGGUUUGGUCAUAGGCACUGAGGUAAGCAACUGCAUAUGUUACUCCCGCCCGUCCUCUGGGAGUGUUUCUAAGGGUGAAGCCAGUGGGGGGGGGGGACACGCCCUAUGACGUAUGUCAAAUAACACGCCCUGUGAUAUAUGUCAAAUAGGGGUGUCCCCCAAAUGGUCUCCAUUUGAGGAGUGGUCUGGCCCUAGCCCCCUUCUGGGUAUUGGACAGGAGCCACUCUUACCAGAUCCUUUUAACAGAAUUCCCUUACCCGUGGAGGGGCAGGCAGAGGCUACAACCUCCCCUCCAACGAAGACUAGGCUUAACCAAUCCCUGUCUGCCUUACAAAGUUGAGAUGAUUGCUAUGAGGUAGGUGAAAACUCAAAUAGCGGUGCCAAUUUGCUAGAUGGGAGAAAAUCCUGCCCGGCCCCUAAAACCAACAACCGACAUUGUCCAUAGAAAGGUUGUACCAUCAGCAAAAACCCUAAUCUGAGGGUGGGUGGGAGAACUGGCAUGGUGAGUGAGAGGUCGAAAUGCCCAGCAGGCUAGGCAUUUAUCCUUCCUCUGGGCAUGGGACCAGGCACUGCUAUUGAUCAGUUGGUCCCACACCCAGGAGAAUGCCAUCUAUAGAUUCCUUUCGCCAUGGGCCAAUUUGGCAGUAGGAGGAUGGUCCAGCCUGCAAUAGACCAGUUCCCAGAGGAGGCCUGGGGCCCACCCGCAAAGCCACCUGCCCAAGAAGGGCAAAUGGACUUCCAGAGCAGGAGUACAAAGAGUCUUUGGCCAGAGGAUUGGGGAGAAUUGUUUUUCUCUGACCUCAACGUUUAACAAACGGUGGAAAAGUACAGAUAGUAAUAAGUACCUUAUUAACAGUAGUAAUUCACAAAACAAUUGCUGAUAAUGCAGACAUCCUGGCAUUGGUAAACCAAUUAAUACAUUUAGACCUAGUCUGCACAACACGAUAUGUCAGAACCUAGCUAAAUGAGACAAUAUCAAUCUGCAUACUUCUGGAGAGCACUGAGGCUAGUGGUUAAAAUCUCUCUUCACUAAUCAUGAGCUGUAGUCAACAAAUGUGACUACACUUUGUGGUUAGCAUCACAAGCACUUGUGAAUUCCUUUCCAGAAGCCAUCACAUUUGUGUGGUCUUGCUAUACCAAGCUUUAUUGUGUCAUGUGAUCCUGGUCAUAAUGUGCUAAAAAUUCUUUGUCUCAGUUCAAUCCACAAGCUAUGUUUAAAAUUUGCUGCUGACAUGUAAACCCUAAAAAAAUUGGGACCAGGAUACCUAGCAGAUUGUCUCCACCCAUAUAUGCCCAAUUGACCUUUUGAGAUAUUUAGAGGUGGUGUUGCUUGUCGUAAUGGACGUAGUCGGGGAGGGAGGGCAGCUGCCCCCCUAGAUCAAGUAAAACAAUAAAAAUACUUAAUUACAGAAAAUAAUUCAGCUUAAAUCAUACAAUUACAUCCUAUUGUUAAAAACAUUUGUACUGUGAUAAAAGGUUGCUAGAGAAUUAGUAUUUGUGCUUCAAAGUAGUCUUUAUUACACUGCCUUUGUCCGAGAAGAGCCCUGCCUAAUUAUUUGUUGUUUUUCCAGAUAGCCCUUGGUUCUUGCUCACACACUGAGUAGAGAUUACACUGUCCUAUUAGUCCUUUUAAGGGCCAACGUAUGCCAGUGAUGCCAUGUGUGAACAAUCUGCAGGCACCAUUAGCACUGCUUGACUAGCUCUUGAUAACACUCACUAUGAAGUCAAUUAAAGACGUCAGGAGGUGGGCCAGACUGCUUUCUUUUACUAACAACAAUCCUUAGGGGGUGGAGCACAGGGAUUUGGAGGACAGGUGAUGUUAGCGUUUUCAGUAGGAGAAAGCAAAAACAUCCAGACUGCUUCUCUCUGUUCUUUGGCACAAAUUCCUUUCAUUUUCCCACCUUCCCCUAUUUAAAAACAGGUUUUGACAGAUUUUCCACUUUAUAGGAAGCUGAUGAAAGCCAAGUGACUUCAGUUCACAUUAAGGAAAAUGGAAGCAUGAGGCAGUAGCAAAGAAGUCUGGAGCUUAAAUUAAAAGCUGGCAGGAAAUACCAGACCUUAUUUGGAGCCCUAGUGCUUGGUGUUGAGUACUGUGCACUACACCAUAUUCUUCCAUGAUUAAGUUCUAACUGUUGAAUACUUUUCCAAAUGUAUUUUGGGAAUUAAUGGAACUUUUUUUUUUUUUGCCUGAAAGUAGACAUACCAAUUUCAAGCAAAAAACUGCUGUGCCUACUAUUGGCAUUUGCUGCUGGAUGGUGGUUAAUUUAACUUAUAGGAAGAUUUGUCAGCUUCCUGUUUUAAAAAUACACCCCACCUUAAAACAAUUUACAAUUAUGAAUAUAUGCACAGAUUUUUGCAAACAAGUUAUAUUUAGUUU